Molecule: ribosomal RNA, 371 nt
Filed under: uncultured bacterium
Lineage: Bacteria
Description: bacterial SSU rRNA
Rfam family: Bacterial small subunit ribosomal RNA
Source: RNAcentral
GGGGGGGGCAAGCGUUGUUCGGAAUUACUGGGCGUAAAGGGCUCGUAGGUGGCCAACUAAGUCAGACGUGAAAUCCCUCAGCUUAACUGGGGAACUGCGUCUGAUACUGGAUGGCUUGAGUUUGGGAGAGGGAUGCGGAAUUCCAGGUGUAGCGGUGAAAUGCGUAGAUAUCUGGAGGAACACCGGUGGCGAAGGCGGCAUCCUGGACCAACACUGACACUGAUGAGCGAAAGCCAGGGGAGCAAACGGGAUUAGAUACCCCGGUAGUCCUGGCCCUAAACGAUGAAUGCUUGGUGUGGCGGGUAUCGAUCCCUGCCGUGCCGAAGCUAACGCAUUAAGCAUUCCGCCUGGGGAGUAAGGUCGCAAGGCUG